RNAcentral lists this ribosomal RNA (407 nucleotides) under uncultured bacterium. RNAcentral's name for it is "partial 16S ribosomal RNA". It matches the Rfam family "Bacterial small subunit ribosomal RNA", at positions 30 to 526 of the family's 1533-position model. The record is from RNAcentral.
AUUGAACGCUGGCGGCAGGCCUAACACAUGCAAGUCGAGCGGAGCGGCAGACGGGUGAGUAAUGCCUAGGAAUCUGCCUGGUCGUGGGGGAUAACGUCCGGAAACGGGCGCUAAUACCGCAUACUCUCAGCUGCACCUAUGUCGGAUUAGCUGGGUGGUUGGGUCAAGGCAUCACAAGGCGACGAUCCGUAACUGGGCUGAGAGGAUGAUCAGUCACACUGGAAAUGAGACACGGUCCAGACUCCUACGGGAGGCAGCAGUGGGGAAUAUUGGACAAUGGGCGAAAGCCUGAUCCAGCCAUGCCGCGUGUGUGAAGAAGGUCUUCGGAUUGUAAAGCACUUUAAGUUGGGAGGCGUUACCAACAGAAUAAGCACCGGCUAACUUCGUGCCAGCAGCCGCGGUAAUUC